UAAAACCAGCUCUUCAAGUGGUCGGGAUAAUUAUUGGGCUUAAAGUGUCCGUAGCCGGUUUAGUUUGUUCCUGGUAAAAUCGGGUAGCUUAACUAUCUGUAUGCUAGGAAUACUAUUAUACUAGAGGGCGGGAGAGGUCUGAGGUACUACAGGGGUAGGGGUGAAAUCUUAUAAUCCUUGUAGGACCACCAGUGGCGAAGGCGUCAGACUGGAACGCGCCUGACGGUGAGGGACGAAAGCCAGGGGAGCGAACCGGAUUAGAUACCCGGGUAGUCCUGGCCGUAAACGAUGCAUUCUAAGUGAUGGCACGGCCAUGAGCCGUGUCAGUGCCGUAGGGAAACCGUUAAGAGUGCCGCCUGGGAAGUACGGUCGCAAGGCUA
RNAcentral lists this ribosomal RNA (380 nucleotides) under uncultured euryarchaeote. Its description in RNAcentral is "bacterial SSU rRNA". It matches the Rfam family "Archaeal small subunit ribosomal RNA", at positions 471 to 851 of the family's 1478-position model. The record is from RNAcentral. Lineage: Archaea; Methanobacteriati; Methanobacteriota.